CGGGGCGUAGCUCAGCCUGGUAGAGUACUUGCAUGGGGUGUAAGUGGUCGCAGGUUCAAAUCCUGCCGUCCCGACCA
RNAcentral lists this transfer RNA (77 nucleotides) under Piscirickettsia salmonis. Its description in RNAcentral is "tRNA-Pro". It matches the Rfam family "tRNA". From Rfam's summary of the family: Transfer RNA (tRNA) molecules are approximately 80 nucleotides in length. The record is from RNAcentral. RNAcentral also lists the same sequence under 2 other names. Lineage: Bacteria; Pseudomonadati; Pseudomonadota; Gammaproteobacteria; Thiotrichales; Piscirickettsiaceae.